CCUACGGGAGGCAGCAGUGGGGAAUAUUGGGCAAUGGGCGCAAGCCUGACCCAGCAACGCCGCGUGAAGGAAGAAGGCUUUCGGGUUGUAAACUUCUUUUCUCAGGGACGAAGAAAGUGACGGUACCUGAGGAAUAAGCCACGGCUAACUCCGUGCCAGCAGCCGCGGUAAUACGUAGGUGGCAAGCGUUAUCCGGAUUUACUGGGUGUAAAGGCGGUGUGGGUGGGACUGAAAGUCAGAUGUGAAAACCACGGGCUCAACCUGUGGCCUGCAUUUGAAACUGUAGUUCUUGAGUACUGGAGAGGCAGACGGAAUUCCUAGUGGAGCGGUGAAAUGCGUAGAUAUUAGGAGGAACACCAGUGGCGAAGGCGGUCGGCUGGACAGCAACUGACGCUGAGGCGCGAAAGCGUGGGGAGCAAACAGGAUUAGAUACCCGAGUAGUC
Molecule: ribosomal RNA, 443 nt
Filed under: uncultured bacterium
Lineage: Bacteria
Description: partial 16S ribosomal RNA
Rfam family: Bacterial small subunit ribosomal RNA
Source: RNAcentral